RNAcentral lists this non-coding RNA (30 nucleotides) under Rattus norvegicus (Norway rat). Lineage: Eukaryota; Metazoa; Chordata; Mammalia; Rodentia; Muridae. The record is from RNAcentral.
UCCCCUGUCGGAGCCUUCGUCCUGCCACAG